This 436-nucleotide long non-coding RNA is filed under the name Phascolarctos cinereus (koala). Its description in RNAcentral is "lncRNA (ENSPCIG00000010073.2)". Lineage: Eukaryota; Metazoa; Chordata; Mammalia; Diprotodontia; Phascolarctidae. The record is from RNAcentral.
GUUAUUUUGAGGUGAUAUUUGGCAGAAAUUUUAGGGAGGGAGAACGGAGUCAGUCACUGGACUAUCACUGCCAUUACUGUAUUCUCUCUGCAGCUAUCUCUGCACCCUGGGGAGCAUGGUGGAAGUGGUAGAACUUGUUUUGAAAAGCAAACAUAAGAGAAGUCCCCAGGCUGCACCUGACAAUACUAGAGCCCUCAGUUCUCUGCUUGCUAUCACCAGAGGCACAUGGGGACUCGGACAGCAGGGCCUAAUCUCACCCACUGGGAGAAGGGGUUGCCAAUCACCCGAGCAGUUACUGGUUACCUCUGGAGGUAAUGGAUUCUCCCUUACUGGAAGUUUUUAAGUAAAUUGAAGGUAAUAACUUGUUGGAAAUGAGCCUGACUCCCUGCCUGCUUCCUCCCUGCGUUUCUCUCUCCUUCCUCUUUUUCCCUCCCCC